This 542-nucleotide ribosomal RNA is filed under the name uncultured Terrimonas sp. RNAcentral describes it as "bacterial SSU rRNA". It matches the Rfam family "Bacterial small subunit ribosomal RNA", at positions 355 to 897 of the family's 1533-position model. The record is from RNAcentral. Lineage: Bacteria; Pseudomonadati; Bacteroidota; Chitinophagia; Chitinophagales; Chitinophagaceae.
UAAGGAAUAUUGGUCAAUGGACGAAAGUCUGAACCAGCCAUGCCGCGUGGAGGAUGAAGGUCCUCUGGAUUGUAAACUUCUUUUAUAUGGGACGAAAAAAGGCCUUUCCAGGUCGUCUGACGGUACCAUAUGAAUAAGCACCGGCUAACUCCGUGCCAGCAGCCGCGGUAAUACGGAGGGUGCAAGCGUUAUCCGGAUUCACUGGGUUUAAAGGGUGCGUAGGUGGGUUGAUAAGUCAGUGGUGAAAUCCCCGAGCUUAACUUGGGAACUGCCAUUGAUACUAUUGAUCUUGAAUACCGUGGAGGUCAGCGGAAUAUGUCAUGUAGCGGUGAAAUGCUUAGAUAUGACAUAGAACACCAAUUGCGAAGGCAGCUGGCUACGCGAAUAUUGACACUGAUGCACGAAAGCGUGGGGAUCAAACAGGAUUAGAUACCCUGGUAGUCCACGCCCUAAACUAUGGAUACUCGACAUCAGCGAUACACUGUUGGUGUCUGAGCGAAAGCAUUAAGUAUCCCACCUGGGAAGUACGAUCGCAAGAUUGC